RNAcentral lists this ribosomal RNA (385 nucleotides) under uncultured eukaryote. RNAcentral's name for it is "partial 18S ribosomal RNA". It matches the Rfam family "Eukaryotic small subunit ribosomal RNA", at positions 592 to 976 of the family's 1831-position model. The record is from RNAcentral.
CAAUAGCGUAUAUUAAAGUUGUUGCAGUUAAAAAGCUCGUAGUUGGAUUUCUGAUUGGAGAGUCCGGCCCUGCCCGCAAGGGUGGUGCGCCAGCGUCUGCUCUGGUCAUCCUUGGGACUAACGUGUCUGGCAUUAGUUUGUCGGGCUCGGGAAUCCCAUCGUUUACUGUGAAAAAAUUAGAGUGUUUAAAGCAGGCUUAUGCCGCUGAAUACAUUAGCAUGGAAUAAUAAGAUAGGACUUUGGUACUAUUUUGUUGGUUUGCAUACCAAGGUAAUGAUUAAUAGGGAUAGUUGGGGGUAUUCAUAUUUAAUUGUCAGAGGUGAAAUUCUUGGAUUUAUGAAAGAUGAACUUAUGCGAAAGCAUUUACCAAGGAUGUUUNCAUUAA